RNAcentral lists this ribosomal RNA (253 nucleotides) under uncultured bacterium. RNAcentral describes it as "partial 16S ribosomal RNA". It matches the Rfam family "Bacterial small subunit ribosomal RNA", at positions 524 to 776 of the family's 1533-position model. The record is from RNAcentral.
UACGGAGGGUGCAAACGUUGCUCGGAAUCAUUGGGCGUAAAGCGCGCGUAGGCGGUCAGGUAAGUCCGGUGUGAAAGUCAAAGGCUCAACCUUUGAAUGCCGCUGGAAACUGCCUGACUUGAGUCCGGUAGGGGCGAGUGGAAUUCCUGGUGUAGCGGUGAAAUGCGCAGAUAUCAGGAAGAACACCAAUGGCGAAAGCAGCUCUCUGGGACGGUACUGACGCUGAGACGCGAAAGCGUGGGGAGCGAACAGG